This 201-nucleotide ribosomal RNA is filed under the name Faecalibacterium prausnitzii. RNAcentral's name for it is "partial 16S ribosomal RNA". It matches the Rfam family "Bacterial small subunit ribosomal RNA", at positions 1342 to 1533 of the family's 1533-position model. The record is from RNAcentral. Lineage: Bacteria; Bacillati; Bacillota; Clostridia; Eubacteriales; Oscillospiraceae.
UCGCGGAUCAGCAUGCCGCGGUGAAUACGUUCCCGGGCCUUGUACACACCGCCCGUCACACCAUGAGAGUCGGGAACACCCGAAGUCCGUAGCCUAACCGCAAGGAGGGCGCGGCCGAAGGUGGGUUCGAUAAUUGGGGUGAAGUCGUAACAAGGUAGCCGUAUCGGAAGGUGCGGCUGGAUCACCUCCUUUCUAAGGAGA